CUGGGUUGAUCCUGCCGGACCUGACUGCUAUCGGAUUGGUACUAAGCCAUGCGAGUGAUCGUAGCAAUACGACGCAGACGGCUCAGUAACACGUAGUCGACCGUAACUCGUGGACGUGGAUAAUCUCGGGAAACUGAGGAUAAACCACGAUAGAUAACGGUGUCUGGAAUGGCCCAUUGUCCAAACAGUUUACUGCCACGGGAUGGGACUGCGGCCUAUCAGCUUGUUGGUGAGGUAAUGGCCCACCAAGGCUAUAACAGGUACGGGCUCUGAGAGGAGAAGCCCGGAGAUGGGUACUGAGACACGGACCCAGGCCCUAUGGGGCGCAGCAGGCGAGAAACCUUAGCAAUGUGCGAAAGCACGACUGGGCCAGUCCGAGUGAUUUCUGAUAAAGGAAUCUUUUGCCCGUCCUAAAAGCACGGGCGAAUAAGGGGUGGGCAAGUCUGGUGU
Molecule: ribosomal RNA, 450 nt
Filed under: uncultured archaeon
Lineage: Archaea
Description: bacterial SSU rRNA
Rfam family: Archaeal small subunit ribosomal RNA
Source: RNAcentral